This 576-nucleotide ribosomal RNA is filed under the name uncultured bacterium. Its description in RNAcentral is "bacterial SSU rRNA". It matches the Rfam family "Bacterial small subunit ribosomal RNA", at positions 338 to 916 of the family's 1533-position model. The record is from RNAcentral.
CCUACGGGAGGCAGCAGUAGGGAAUAUUGGGCAAUGGAGGCAACUCUGACCCAGCCAUGCCGCGUGCAGGAAGACGGCCCUCUGGGUUGUAAACUGCUUUUGAAUGGGAAGAAUGUGAUGUUUGCGAGCAUUAAUGACGGUACCAUUAGAAUAAGCCACGGCUAACUACGUGCCAGCAGCCGCGGUAAUACGUAGGUGGCGAGCGUUAUCCGGAUUUAUUGGGUUUAAAGGGUGCGUAGGCGGCUUAAUAAGUCGGUGGUAAAAGGUAGCAGCUUAACUGUUUUACAUGCCAUCGAUACUGUUGAGCUUGAGUUAUUUGGAGGCAGCUAGAAUUUCCGGUGUAGCGGUGAAAUGCAUAGAUACCGGAAGGAAUACCGAUUGCGAAGGCAGGUUGCUACGAAUAUACUGACGCUGAUGCACGAAAGCGUGGGGAUCAAACAGGAUUAGAUACCCUGGUAGUCCACGCAGUAAACGAUGAUUACUAGAUGUUGGCUUAUGGUCAGUGUCCAAGGGAAACCGAUAAGUAAUCCACCUGGGGAGUACGCCGGCAACGGUGAAACUCAAAUGAAUUGACGG